UCCUAGUAUGUGUAUAGUAGGAAUCUUGACAGUAAAAUACAGCUAUGCUGGAGUUUUGUAAUAUUAUCAGGGCUCAUGAAAGUUGUGGUGUUUGAAGAUUGCAGUAGGUUAUAAAGAUUUGAAGGUUGUGAUGCAAAUAAUACAUUUAUACUGGUCUUGUGUAUAGUCCUAUAUAAUUUCCUUGUAUUAGGUUUUGGAGUGGCAGUGAUUGUUUCUCUUAUCUGUAGCAAUGAAGUGAAGACAAUAUAUGUUAUGUUUUAGAGU
RNAcentral lists this long non-coding RNA (264 nucleotides) under Capsicum annuum. RNAcentral's name for it is "long non-coding RNA (CANN_LNC022365)". Lineage: Eukaryota; Viridiplantae; Streptophyta; Magnoliopsida; Solanales; Solanaceae. The record is from RNAcentral.